RNAcentral lists this ribosomal RNA (272 nucleotides) under uncultured bacterium. RNAcentral describes it as "partial 16S ribosomal RNA". It matches the Rfam family "Bacterial small subunit ribosomal RNA", at positions 524 to 789 of the family's 1533-position model. The record is from RNAcentral.
UACAGAGGGUGCAAGCGUUUGUUCGGAAUUAUUGGGCGUAAAGCGCGUGUAGGCGGCCGUGCAAGUCGGGUGUGAAAGCCCUCGGCUCAACCGAGGAAGUGCGCCCGAAAACUGCAUGGCUUGAGUACCGGAGAGGAUGGCGGAAUUCCCCAAGUAGAGGUGAAAUUCGUAGAUAUGGGGGAGGAACACCGGUGGCGAAGGCGGCCAUCUGGACGGAUACUGACGCUGAGACGCGAAAAGCGUGGGGGAGCAAACAGGGAUUAGAAAACCCU